RNAcentral lists this ribosomal RNA (405 nucleotides) under uncultured marine bacterium. RNAcentral's name for it is "bacterial SSU rRNA". It matches the Rfam family "Bacterial small subunit ribosomal RNA", at positions 9 to 419 of the family's 1533-position model. The record is from RNAcentral.
GAGUUUGAUCUUGGCUCAGAUUGAACGCUGGCGGCAUGCUUUACACAUGCAAGUCGAACGGCAGCACGGGGUUUACCCUGGUGGCGAGUGGCGAACGGGUGAGGAAUACAUCGGAACGUGUCUAUAAGUGGGGAUAACGCAUCGAAAGAUGUGCUAAUACCGCAUAAUCUCUCAGGAGAAAAGCAGGGGAUCGCAAGACCUUGCGCUUUAGGAGCGGCCGAUGCCUGAUUAGCUUGUUGGUAAGGUAAAAGCUUACCAAGGCUUCGAUCAGUAGCUGGUCUGAGAGGACGACCAGCCACACUGGGACUGAGACACGGCCCAGACUCCUACGGGAGGCAGCAGUGGGAAUUUUGGACAAUGGGGAAACCCUGAUCCAGCCAUGCCGCGUGAGUGAAGAAGGCCUUC